Molecule: ribosomal RNA, 253 nt
Filed under: uncultured bacterium
Lineage: Bacteria
Description: partial 16S ribosomal RNA
Rfam family: Bacterial small subunit ribosomal RNA
Source: RNAcentral
UACGUAGGUGGCAAGCGUUGUCCGGAAUUAUUGGGCGUAAAGCGCGCGCAGGCGGUCCUUUAAGUCUGAUGUGAAAGCCCACGGCUCAACCGUGGAGGGUCAUUGGAAACUGGGGGACUUGAGUGCAGAAGAGGAAAGCGGAAUUCCACGUGUAGCGGUGAAAUGCGUAGAUAUUGGGAGGAACACCAGUGGCGAAGGCGACUUUCUGGACGAUAACUGACGCUGAGGCGCGAAAGCGUGGGGAGCAAACAGG